CCUACGGGUGGCAGCAGUGGGGAAUAUUGGACAAUGGGGGGAACCCUGAUCCAGCCAUGCCGCGUGUGUGAAGAAGGCCCUCGGGUUGUAAAGCACUUUCAGUGAGGAAGAACGCCUGGUGGUUAAUACCCAUCAGGAAAGACAUCACUCACAGAAGAAGCACCGGCUAACUCCGUGCCAGCAGCCGCGGUAAUACGGAGGGUGCGAGCGUUAAUCGGAAUUACUGGGCGUAAAGCGCGCGUAGGUGGCUUGAUAAGCCGGUUGUGAAAGCCCCGGGCUCAACCUGGGAACGGCAUCCGGAACUGUCAAGCUAGAGUGCAGGAGAGGAAGGUAGAAUUCCAGGUGUAGCGGUGAAAUGCGUAGAGAUCGGGAGGAAUACCAGUGGCGAAGGCGGCCUUCUGGACUGACACUGACACUGAGGUGCGAAAGCGUGGGUAGCAAACAGGAUUAGAUACCCUUGUAGUC
This 465-nucleotide ribosomal RNA is filed under the name Vreelandella stevensii. RNAcentral's name for it is "partial 16S ribosomal RNA". It matches the Rfam family "Bacterial small subunit ribosomal RNA", at positions 338 to 795 of the family's 1533-position model. Lineage: Bacteria; Pseudomonadati; Pseudomonadota; Gammaproteobacteria; Oceanospirillales; Halomonadaceae. The record is from RNAcentral.